CUUGGUCAUUUAGAGGAAGUAAAAGUCGUAACAAGGUCUCCGUAGGUGAACCUGCGGAGGGAUCAUUACACAAAUAUGAAGGCGGGCUGGAACCUCUCGGGGUUACAGCCUUGCUGAAUUAUUCACCCUUGUCUUUUGCGUACUUCUUGUUUCCUUGGUGGGUUCGCCCACCACUAGGACAAACAUAAACCUUUUGUAAUUGCAAUCAGCGUCAGUAACAAAUUAAUAAUUACAACUUUCAACAACGGAUCUCUUGGUUCUGGCAUCGAUGAAGAACGCAGCGAAAUGCGAUAAGUAGUGUGAAUUGCAGAAUUCAGUGAAUCAUCGAAUCUUUGAACGCACAUUGCGCCCUUUGGUAUUCCAAAGGGCAUGCCUGUUCGAGCGUCAUUUGUACCCUCAAGCUUUGCUUGGUGUUGGGCGUCUUGUCUCUAGCUUUGCUGGAGACUCGCCUUAAAGUAAUUGGCAGCCGGCCUACUGGUUUCGGAGCGCAGCACAAGUCGCACUCUCUAUCAGCAAAGGUCUAGCAUCCAUUAAGCCUUUUUUUCAACUUUUGACCUCGGAUCAGGUAGGGAUACCCGCUGAACUUAAGCAUAUCAAUAAGCG
This 603-nucleotide ribosomal RNA is filed under the name fungal sp. MG191NL7L9x. Its description in RNAcentral is "eukaryotic LSU rRNA". The stretch from base 234 to 387 matches the Rfam family "5.8S ribosomal RNA". The record is from RNAcentral. Lineage: Eukaryota; Fungi.